Molecule: ribosomal RNA, 459 nt
Filed under: uncultured bacterium
Lineage: Bacteria
Description: partial 16S ribosomal RNA
Rfam family: Bacterial small subunit ribosomal RNA
Source: RNAcentral
CCUACGUGUGGCAGCAGUGAGGAAUAUUGGUCAAUGGCCGGAAGGCUGAACCAGCCAAGCCGCGUGAAGGACGAAGGUGCCAAGCAUUGUCAACUUCUUUUGUCAAGGGACAAAAUCAGUCUCGAGAGCCUGACCGAGGGUACUUGAAGAACAAGCAUCGGCUAACUCCGUGCCAGCAGCCGCGGUAAUACGGAGGAUGCGAGCGUUAUCCGGAUUUAUUGGGUUUAAAGUGUGCGCAGGCGGCGGUGCAAGUCCGCGGUCAAAUUGCGGGGCGAAACCCCGUACUGCAGUUGAGACUGCAGCCCUUGAGUGCGCGAGAAGUAUGCGGAAUGCGUGGUGUAGCGGUGAAAUGCAGAGAUAUCACGCAGAACUCCGAUUGCGAAGGCAGCAUACCGGCGCGCAACUGACGCUCAUGCACGAAAGCGUGGGUAUCGAACAGGAUUAGAUACCCCAGUAGUC